UUCCGUGACCUCUACUCUUUUAACUUGGCAAUGUUGUCCAAGCAAUGUUGGAGGUUGAUCAAUGACCCGCAUUCUUUGGUUGCGAGAGUUCUCAAGGCAAAAUAUUACCCAAAUGGUUCCCUUAUUGAUGCUACACCAAAAAAUGGAUCGUCCUUCACAUGGCAGAGUAUUUUGAAGGGGUUGGAAACUUUCAAGAAAGGAUACAUUUGGAGGAUUGGGACUGGUGAACAUGUUAACAUAUGGACGGAUCCGUGGAUUCCCUCUAGUCCGGAUAGAAUGGUGAUAUCACCGAGGGGUCAAACGGUCCUAACCAAAGUUUGUGAAUUAAUAGAUAUGGCUAAUGGUACGUGGGAUGAGGCGCUAAUAAUAAGUUUAUUCAGUCCAGUGGAUGCCCGCAGAAUUAUUCAGAUUCCACUACACUUGCAUGGUUUUGAUGACUUUGUGGCAUGGCACCCGAACAGGACAGGUAUUUUCUCAGUAAAGAGU
This 486-nucleotide ribosomal RNA is filed under the name Triticum aestivum (bread wheat). RNAcentral describes it as "partial small subunit ribosomal RNA". The record is from RNAcentral. Lineage: Eukaryota; Viridiplantae; Streptophyta; Magnoliopsida; Poales; Poaceae.